Molecule: ribosomal RNA, 838 nt
Filed under: Granulicatella sp. sp2-iso-om9
Lineage: Bacteria; Bacillati; Bacillota; Bacilli; Lactobacillales; Carnobacteriaceae
Description: bacterial SSU rRNA
Rfam family: Bacterial small subunit ribosomal RNA
Source: RNAcentral
UGCCUAAUACAUGCAAGUCGAACGAGAGCGACCGGUGCUUGCACUGGUCAAUCUAGUGGCGAACGGGUGAGUAACACGUGGGUAACCUGCCCAUCAGAGGGGGAUAACAUUCGGAAACGGAUGCUAAAACCGCAUAGGUCUUCGAACCGCAUGGUUUGAAGAGGAAAAGAGGCGCAAGCUUCUGCUGAUGGAUGGACCCGCGGUGCAUUAGCUAGUUGGUGAGGUAACGGCUCACCAAGGCCGUGAUGCAUAGCCGACCUGAGAGGGUGAUCGGCCACAUUGGGACUGAGACACGGCCCAAACUCCUACGGGAGGCAGCAGUAGGGAAUCUUCCGCAAUGGACGCAAGUCUGACGGAGCAACGCCGCGUGAGUGAAGAAGGUUUUCGGAUCGUAAAACUCUGUUGUUAGAGAAGAACAAGUGCUAGAGUAACUGUUAGCGCCUUGACGGUAUCUAACCAGAAAGCCACGGCUAACUACGUGCCAGCAGCCGCGGUAAUACGUAGGUGGCAAGCGUUGUCCGGAUUUAUUGGGCGUAAAGCGAGCGCAGGCGGUUCCUUAAGUCUGAUGUGAAAGCCCCCGGCUCAACCGGGGAGGGUCAUUGGAAACUGGGGAACUUGAGUGCAGAAGAGGAGAGUGGAAUUCCAUGUGUAGCGGUGAAAUGCGUAGAUAUAUGGAGGAACACCAGUGGCGAAGGCGACUCUCUGGUCUGUAACUGACGCUGAGGCUCGAAAGCGUGGGUAGCAAACAGGAUUAGAUACCCUGGUAGUCCACGCCGUAAACGAUGAGUGCUAAGUGUUGGAGGGUUUCCGCCCUUCAGUGCUGCAGUUAACGCAUUAA